ACUCCUGCUCCAGCGGCAUGAUGUGAUCCACCGGCAAGGAGGGACGCCAAUAAGGCGUCCCAUAAGCCAGUAGACGAGGUUUGACUCUGGAGGCGACGUCUGUGUCAGCAGGUAUUUGGAGUCUGGAGAAAAAGCCAUGCUGAUAAACUUUUGAACUUGGAAGUCAAAAUUAUUCAGGACUUUGCGCUUCCGGCAAGGGAUGGAUGACAGCUCAUAAAUAGUGAUGGUUGAGACACAUGCAUGUGACCUUCCCUUUUCUGAGAAUGUAGAGAUGACAGCUGGAAACACAGCCAGCAUCUUGCAGCCGUGCAGAAACAAGCAUGAAAUGAAAGCUGCGUGAGAAUUAAAGUGUGAACACCUCAUCCAGAAGGCACGACAGGGCCAUAGCAGAUUCUGUUAUGUGGGCCUUGGGCACUUUGCCUUUAUGGGUCUCUUCCUUCAUUAGAAAUGAUGAAAAUAGGGCUGGUGACUUUUUCACAGGACCCGAGUUAGGUUCCCAGCACCCACAUUGGGUGGCUCCCAAAUGACCUGUAACUCCAGCUCCAGGGAGCUCCAAAGUCUCUGGCCUCCACAGACGCUCGCCCACAC
This is a non-coding RNA of Cricetulus griseus (Chinese hamster), 588 nucleotides long. NCBI's taxonomy places the organism in Eukaryota, Metazoa, Chordata, Mammalia, Rodentia, Cricetidae. The record is from RefSeq and is a predicted model, not a curated record.